Molecule: long non-coding RNA, 418 nt
Organism: Glycine soja
Lineage: Eukaryota; Viridiplantae; Streptophyta; Magnoliopsida; Fabales; Fabaceae
Exons: 3
Source: RefSeq, a predicted model, not a curated record
UUUCUCGAUUUCUUGUCAGUUAUGAUACCAUUGAACUAAUUUCCUUCAUAUGAUAGUUGUUUGACAUCAUCAAAUUACUCGAAGCUAUCACGCUUGCAUGAAAAACACGAGAAUCAAGGCAAUUAAGAAAAUCAAUUAUGGCUCCUUCUAGGAAAUCUAGAAGCGUAAAUUAAGAGGUUUUCUAGUGUUCGUGAGGCUGGUUCUAGUAAAGACAAAAUUAAAGAGAAUGCUAGCAAAAAUAGGCUGAAGAAGAGAAAAUUGGCUAACAUAUUAGGGCCACAAUGGAAUAAGGAGGAGCUUGAGCAUUUCUAUGAAGCUUACAGUAAAUAUAGGAAAGAUUGGAAGAAGGUUAGUUCUAGUCUAGUCAUAAGGUGCUUUUUAUUGAAUAAAAGGCUAUAGGUCAAAUUUCACGAUCAAG